GAUGAACGCUGGCGGCGUGCCUAACACAUGCAAGUCGAGCGAAGCGCCUUACUUGAUUUCUUCGGGAUGAAAGUAUUGUGACUGAGCGGCGGACGGGUGAGUAACGCGUGGAUAACCUGCCUCAUACAGGGGGAUAACAGUUAGAAAUGACUGCUAAUACCGCAUAAGACCACAGCACCGCAUGGUGCAGGGGUAAAAACUCCGGUGGUAUGAGAUGGAUCCGCGUCUGAUUAGCUAGUUGGUAAGGUAACGGCUUAUCAAGGCGACGAUGCGUAGCCGACCUGAGAGGGUGACCGGCCACACUGGGACUGAGACACGGCCCAG
RNAcentral lists this ribosomal RNA (324 nucleotides) under uncultured bacterium. RNAcentral's name for it is "bacterial SSU rRNA". It matches the Rfam family "Bacterial small subunit ribosomal RNA", at positions 28 to 334 of the family's 1533-position model. The record is from RNAcentral.